This 468-nucleotide ribosomal RNA is filed under the name uncultured bacterium. RNAcentral's name for it is "partial 16S ribosomal RNA". It matches the Rfam family "Bacterial small subunit ribosomal RNA", at positions 28 to 507 of the family's 1533-position model. The record is from RNAcentral.
GACGAACGCUGGCGGUGUGCUUAACACAUGCAAGUCGAACGGAAAGGCACUGCUUUUGUGGGGUGCUCGAGUGGCGAACGGGUGAGUAACACGUGAGUAACCUGCUCUUGACUUUGGGAUAACUUCAGGAAACUAGGGUUAAUCUAGUAUAGCAGACCACCUUGCGUGGUGGGGGUGGGAUCUUCUGAGCGGUCGGGGUUGGACGCGCGGCUUAUCGGCUAGCUGGUGGGGUAGUGGCUUACCAAGUCAUUGAAGGAUACCCGGCAUGGGUGGGGGGCCGGCGACAUGAGUACUAAGAUACGGCCCAGACGGCAACGUGGGGCAACAGUGGGGAGUAUUGCACAAUGAUCGGAAGCGUGAUGCAGCAGCGCCGCGGUCGUAAUGACGGCCUUCUGGGUGAAAACCGCUUUCGCCUGUGACGAAGCGUUAGUGACGGUAAUGAAUAAAGAAGCACCGGCUAACUACGUG